This 21-nucleotide non-coding RNA is filed under the name Caenorhabditis elegans. The record is from RNAcentral. Lineage: Eukaryota; Metazoa; Nematoda; Chromadorea; Rhabditida; Rhabditidae.
UGAUUGAGGGACUCUCGAAAA